This 253-nucleotide ribosomal RNA is filed under the name uncultured bacterium. RNAcentral describes it as "partial 16S ribosomal RNA". It matches the Rfam family "Bacterial small subunit ribosomal RNA", at positions 524 to 776 of the family's 1533-position model. The record is from RNAcentral.
UACGGAGGAUCCAAGCGUUAUCCGGAAUCAUUGGGUUUAAAGGGUCCGUAGGCGGUUUAAUAAGUCAGUGGUGAAAUCUGGUCGCUCAACGAUCAAACGGCCAUUGAUACUGUUAAACUUGAAUUAUUGGGAAGUAACUAGAAUAUGUAGUGUAGCGGUGAAAUGCUUAGAUAUUACAUGGAAUACCAAUUGCGAAGGCAGGUUACUAUCAAUAUAUUGACGCUGAUGGACGAAAGCGUGGGGAGCGAACAGG